AUGAUGGCAGCAGCCCAUAUGGGGGGCCCGCCCAUGAUGCCAAUGAUGGGCUCUCCUCCUCCUGGGAUGAUGCCAGUGGGACCUGCUCCUGGAAUGAGGCCGCCCAUGGGAGGCCACAUGCCCAUGAUGCCUGGGUGCCCAAUGAUGAGACCUCCUGCCCGUCUCAUGAUGGUGCCCAGUCAGCCCAGAAUGACUCAACCAGACAGA
This 207-nucleotide long non-coding RNA is filed under the name Homo sapiens (human). RNAcentral's name for it is "non-protein coding lnc-TAC1-2:1". Lineage: Eukaryota; Metazoa; Chordata; Mammalia; Primates; Hominidae. The record is from RNAcentral.